AGAGUUUGAUCAUGGCUCAGAAUGAACGCUGGCGGCGUGCUUAACACAUGCAAGUCGAGCGAAAAGCCCUUCGGGGUGAGUAAGCGGCGAACGGGUGAGUAAUACACAGGUACCUGCCCCUCAGUGAGGAAUACCCUCGGGAAAUCGAGGUUAAUACUGCAUACGUCCCUACGGGGAGAAAGGCGGCUUUUAUGCUGUCGCUGAAGGAUGGGCUUGUGGGCUAUCAGCUAGUUGGUGGGGUAAAGGCUCACCAAGGCUAUGACGGCUAGCCGGCCUGAGAGGGUGUACGGCCACACUGGAACUGAGACACGGUCCAGACUCCUACGGGAGGCAGCAGUGGGGAAUAUUGCGCAAUGGGCGAAAGCCUGACGCAGCGACGCCGCGUGGAGGAUGAAGGUUUUCGGAUUGUAAACUCCUGUUAAGUGGGAAGAAAAGCCUGUUUUUAAUACAGGCAGGUUAUGACGGUACCACUAGAGAAAGCACCGGCUAACUUCGUGCCAGCAGCCGCGGUAAUACGAGGGGUGCAAGCGUUAUUCGGAAUAAUUGGGCGUAAAGGGUGCGUAGACGGCCUGUUAAGUCUGUUGUUAAAUUCUCCGGCUCAACCGGGGGGCUGCAAUGGAAACUGGCGGACUAGAGGGUGAGAGAGAGAAGUGGAAUUCCCCGGAGUAGCGGUAAAAUGCGUAGAUCUCGGGAGGAACACCGAUGGCGAAGGCAGCUUCUUGGCUCAUUCCUGACGUUGAUGCACGAAAGCGUGGGGAGCAAACAGGAUUAGAUACCCUAGUAGUCC
Molecule: ribosomal RNA, 787 nt
Filed under: uncultured bacterium
Lineage: Bacteria
Description: bacterial SSU rRNA
Rfam family: Bacterial small subunit ribosomal RNA
Source: RNAcentral